CCUACGGGGGGCAGCAGUGGGGAAUAUUGGACAAUGGGGGCAACCCCGAUCCAGCCAUGCCGCGUGUGUGAAGAAGGCCCUCGGGUUGUAAAGCACUUUCAGUGAGGAAGAACGCCUGGUGGUUAAUACCCAUCAGGAAAGACAUCACUCACAGAAGAAGCACCGGCUAACUCCGUGCCAGCAGCCGCGGUAAUACGGAGGGUGCGAGCGUUAAUCGGAAUUACUGGGCGUAAAGCGCGCGUAGGUGGCUUGAUAAGCCGGUUGUGAAAGCCCCGGGCUCAACCUGGGAACGGCAUCCGGAACUGUCAAGCUAGAGUGCAGGAGAGGAAGGUAGAAUUCCCGGUGUAGCGGUGAAAUGCGUAGAGAUCGGGAGGAAUACCAGUGGCGAAGGCGGCCUUCUGGACUGACACUGACACUGAGGUGCGAAAGCGUGGGUAGCAAACAGGAUUAGAUACCCUUGUAGUC
RNAcentral lists this ribosomal RNA (465 nucleotides) under Vreelandella stevensii. RNAcentral describes it as "partial 16S ribosomal RNA". It matches the Rfam family "Bacterial small subunit ribosomal RNA", at positions 338 to 795 of the family's 1533-position model. The record is from RNAcentral. Lineage: Bacteria; Pseudomonadati; Pseudomonadota; Gammaproteobacteria; Oceanospirillales; Halomonadaceae.